CCUCGGUUGGGAGGAGAAGAAGAAAAGGGGUUUUAAACCCUUUUUACCAUUUUGCCCCUCAACUAUGCACUAUUUAUUUCGGGCAGUUUAAUUUUCGCCGGAGCCUUUCUGGAUGUCCGUUUUCGCUCAAAUUUGACAGGCACGCUCGGUUUUACUUAAUAAGUCCAAAGAAAUUUUAAUAUUUCAGUUUCGACCCCGUUUGGUCACCGAAAACUGUACCGAACUGCAAUCUUUAUCAGAUAGCUUUCGGAUUCGAUUUCUCUCUCUACGGGUGUCAGAAUGGUAUGAAACUUUAAAUCUAGCCUCAUAAAAAUAUUUCUGGCAUCCCCGCCAAUUUUCAUAAUUUUCUGAGACUGUGCAUUUUCUGCUAAUUUAUCUGCCCCGUUUCUCCCAGAAAAUUCUAAAUCUUCUGUUUUCGCUCCGAUUUCAGCACAGGUCAUUCCCAACCUAUAUUUCGCUUCUCUAAAUCCGAUAAAAUAGUAUCUCAUACUAUUUUUAUUUAUUUUCACUUUUCUAUUUAAAAUCCGGUAUGUUACAUUCCACCGCAACCUUACCGGAACCAUCUAAAUGUACACCGUGACUUCAUGAUUUUUGAAGUUCGGUAUGUUACAUCCCCGCCCUGUGACGGGAGGCCAUGUGGACCGAGUCAUAUUCGAAAUAGUGUGAGACUGGUUGAGCCGAGUCACAAUUGAGAUAAGUGAAUUGGUUGCGUAUUUCUAAUAGCUCAAGUUUUUGGGAUUAAUGGUUAGCACCAACGAUCCGACAAUAUUUUAUAAUUAAUUUAAAUAAAUAAUUAAUUAAUAUAUUUUUUUUAUUAUCUUCUACAAUAUUCAUAGCAAAUAAAUUUUUUAAUUUAUUAAAUUAUGUUAAAUUAAUUUUACGAUAUUAAUUAAUUAGAUAAAAUAUUAUUAUUUUAAAGUUAAAAUUACUUUUAUUCCUAUUAUUUUAAUCUAACCAUCCAAAUACUAUUAACUUAUUUUUGGGAACAACAUAACUUUCAUCCAAACAAAAACUUUAGUUCCUGCUUAUAUCUUAAUUUGUAGCUAUAUCUGAAUAAACAGUUAUUGCUUAUAUCAUCCAAACGAAGCCUUAAAGGAUAAAUUUUGGGCAAA
This 1112-nucleotide long non-coding RNA is filed under the name Ananas comosus (pineapple). RNAcentral describes it as "long non-coding RNA (ACOM_LNC034481)". The record is from RNAcentral. Lineage: Eukaryota; Viridiplantae; Streptophyta; Magnoliopsida; Poales; Bromeliaceae.